Molecule: unclassified non-coding RNA, 221 nt
Filed under: uncultured Actinomycetes bacterium
Lineage: Bacteria; Bacillati; Actinomycetota; Actinomycetes
Description: uncultured actinobacterium contains 16S-23S intergenic spacer region
Rfam family: Bacterial small subunit ribosomal RNA
Source: RNAcentral
UGGGUUUGACAUGCACAGGAUCCCGGCAGAGAUGUCGGUUCCCUUGUGGCCUGUGUGCAGGUGGUGCAUGGCUGUCGUCAGCUCGUGUCGUGAGAUGUUGGGUUAAGUCCCGCAACGAGCGCAACCCUUAUCCUAUGUUGCCAGCGCGUAAUGGCGGGGACUCGUGGGAGACUGCCGGGGUCAACUCGGAGGAAGGUGGGGAUGACGUUGUACACCUGAAC